Molecule: ribosomal RNA, 383 nt
Filed under: uncultured eukaryote
Lineage: Eukaryota
Description: partial 18S ribosomal RNA
Rfam family: Eukaryotic small subunit ribosomal RNA
Source: RNAcentral
CAAUAGCGUAUAUUAAAGUUGUUGCAGUUAAAAAGCUCGUAGUUGGAUUUCUGGUAGGAGCGACCGUGCCGAACUUGAUUGUUCGAGUAUUGUGUUGUCUUCAGCCAUCCUCGUGGAGAACUUUUCUAACAUUAACUUGUUGGGAUUGGGACCCGCGUCGUUUACUGUGAAAAAAUUAGAGUGUUUAAAGCAGGCAUUAGCUUGAAUACAUUAGCAUGGAAUAAUAAGAUAGGACUUUGGUACUAUUUUGUUGGUUUGCAUACCAAAUUAAUGAUCAACAGGAACAGUUUGAGGAUAUUCGUAUGACCAUGUCAGAGGUGAAAUUCUUGGAUUUUGAUCAGACGAACUACUGCGAAAGCAUUUAUCAAGGAUGUUUUCAUUAA